UACAGAGGGGGCUAGCGUUGUUCGGAAUUACUGGGCGUAAAGGGCGCGUAGGCGGCCCUCUAAGUCGAACGUGAAAUCCCCGGGCUCAACCCGGGAACUGCGUCCGAUACUGGAGGGCUCGAAUCCGGGAGAGGGAUGUGGAAUUCCAGGUGUAGCGGUGAAAUGCGUAGAUAUCUGGAGGAACACCGGUGGCGAAGGCGGCAUCCUGGACCGGUAAUGACGCUGAGGCGCGAAAGCCAGGGGAGCAAACGGG
RNAcentral lists this ribosomal RNA (253 nucleotides) under uncultured bacterium. RNAcentral describes it as "partial 16S ribosomal RNA". It matches the Rfam family "Bacterial small subunit ribosomal RNA", at positions 524 to 776 of the family's 1533-position model. The record is from RNAcentral.